GCUGGGCAUGGUGGCGCACACCUGUAAUCCCAGGGAUUUGGGAGGCUGAGACAGGAGGAUGGCAAGUUCAAAGCCAGCCUUAGCAAAAGGCAAGGUGCUAAGCAACUCCGUGAUACCCUGUCUCUA
RNAcentral lists this small RNA (126 nucleotides) under Marmota monax (woodchuck). Lineage: Eukaryota; Metazoa; Chordata; Mammalia; Rodentia; Sciuridae. The record is from RNAcentral.